UGAGCGUUUGAGGGCCGCAGAGACCAGGGAGAAGCGACUGUUUACUAAAAACACAGGUCCGUGCGAAGUCGCAAGACGAUGUAUACGGACUGACGCCUGCCCGGUGCUGGAACGUUAAGGGGACCGGUUAACCUUCGGGUGAAGCUGAGAACUUAAGCGCCAGUAAACGGCGGUGGUAACUAUAACCAUCCUAAGGUAGCGAAAUUCCUUGUCGGGUAAGUUCCGACCUGCACGAAUGGCGUAACGACUUCUCCGCUGUCUCAACCGCGAACUCGGCGAAAUUGCAUUACGAGUAAAGAUGCUCGUUACGCGCAGCAGGACGGAAAGACCCCGGGACCUUUACUAUAGCUUGGUAUUGGUGUUCGGUACGGCUUGUGUAGGAUAGGUGGGAGACUGUGAGCCGGCACGCUAGUGUUGGUGGAGUCGACGUUGAAAUACCACUCUGGUCGUUCUGGAUGUCUAACUUCGGUCCGUGAUCCGGAUCAGGGACAGUGCCUGGUGGGUAGUUUAACUGGGGCGGUUGCCUCCUAAAGAGUAACGGAGGCGCCCAAAGGUUCCCUCAGCCUGGUUGGCAAUCAGGUGUCGAGUGUAAGUGCACAAGGGAGCUUGACUGUGAGACCGACAGGUCGAGCAGGGACGAAAGUCGGGACUAGUGAUCCGGCCGUGGAUGGUGGAAUCGCGGUCGCUCAACGGAUAAAAGGUACCCCGGGGAUAACAGGCUGAUCUUGCCCAAGAGUCCAUAUCGACGGCAUGGUUUGGCACCUCGAUGUCGGCUCGUCGCAUCCUGGGGCUGGAGUAGGUCCCAAGGGUUGGGCUGUUCGCCCAUUAAAGCGGUACGCGAGCUGGGUUUAGAACGUCGUGAGACAGUUCGGUCCCUAUCCGCUGCGCGCGUUGGAAACUUGAGAAGGGCUGUCCCUAGUACGAGAGGACCGGGACGGACGAACCUCUGGUGUGCCAGUUGUCCUGCCAAGGGCACCGCUGGUUAGCUACGUUCGGAAGGGAUAACCGCUGAAGGCAUCUAAGCGGGAAGCUCGCUUCAAGAUGAGGUUUCCAUGGCACCUUUGAGUGUCGGGAGGCUCCCAGCUAGACUACUGUUGAUAGGCCGGAUGUGGAAGCGGGGACUGAAGACCCGUGAAGCUGACCGGUACUAAUACGCCGAUGACUUACUACA
Molecule: ribosomal RNA, 1171 nt
Filed under: Kineosporia aurantiaca JCM 3230
Lineage: Bacteria; Bacillati; Actinomycetota; Actinomycetes; Kineosporiales; Kineosporiaceae
Description: bacterial LSU rRNA
Rfam family: Bacterial large subunit ribosomal RNA
Source: RNAcentral